UGCUUAACACAUGCAAGUCGAGACGAGAAAGAUAAGCAGAGAUUCGUCAAAGCGAGUUCUUGGACAGCGGCGGACGGGUGAGUAACGCGUAGGUAACCUACCUUAUGCUGAGGGAUAGCCUAGGGAAACCUGGAUUAAUACCACAUAACGCGGGAGGGUCACAUGGCCCCUCGCCAAAGAUUUAUCGGCAUGAGAUGGACCUGCGUCUGAUUAGAUAGUUGGUGAGGUAACGGCCACCAAGUCGACGAUCAGUAGCCGAUCUGAGAGGAUGAUCGGCCACAUUGGAACUGAGACACGGUCCAAACUCCUACGGGAGGCAGCAGUGGGGAAUAUUGCACAAUGGGCGCAAGCCUGAUGCAGCAACGCCGCGUGAGCGAAGAAGGUCUUCGGAUCGUAAAGCUCUGUCCUUGGGGAAGAAGGAAGUGACGGUACCCGAGGAGGAAGCCCCGGCUAACUACGUGCC
Molecule: ribosomal RNA, 463 nt
Filed under: uncultured bacterium
Lineage: Bacteria
Description: bacterial SSU rRNA
Rfam family: Bacterial small subunit ribosomal RNA
Source: RNAcentral